AUUAUUGAACCGUGAUCUGCUGACGUCGUCAGCAACAUGCCCCAUGCAGCUCGGAUCCGUAACGCUGCAGCACGUUAAUCGUGUGAUCCUCCUCAAGGUCGUUCAGCUUCUGGUAGCACGACCGGUCGACUAUCCGUCGAUAGAAGC
This is a non-coding RNA of Pseudomonas fluorescens, 147 nucleotides long. The record is from Rfam. NCBI's taxonomy places the organism in Bacteria, Pseudomonadati, Pseudomonadota, Gammaproteobacteria, Pseudomonadales, Pseudomonadaceae.